This 326-nucleotide ribosomal RNA is filed under the name uncultured eukaryote. RNAcentral's name for it is "partial 18S ribosomal RNA". It matches the Rfam family "Eukaryotic small subunit ribosomal RNA", at positions 1470 to 1796 of the family's 1831-position model. The record is from RNAcentral.
CCCUUAGAUGUUCUGGGCUGCACGCGCGCUACACUGAUGCACUCAAAGAGUUUACGACCUUGCCCGAUAGGGUUGGGUAAUCUUUUUAAAAUGCAUCGUGAUGGGGAUAGAUUAUUGCAAUUAUUAAUCUUCAACGAGGAAUUCCUAGUAAGCGCGAGUCAUCAGCUCGUGCUGAUUACGUCCCUGCCCUUUGUACACACCGCCCGUCGCUCCUACCGAUUGAGUGCUCAGGUGAAUAAUUCGGACUGCAGCAAUGUUUGGAUCCCGAACGUUGCAGCGGAAAGUUUAGUGAACCUUAUCACUUAGAGGAAGGAGAAGUCGUAACA